AACCCUGUGACAUUGACAAGUCUUUGAAGAUUGUCUCAUGAUGAAAUGUUCUCCCACUUGGCACCUGUUCUUUCAUUGAUAAUAGUCCUGCAGUGUAGGCUAAAUCUAGAUAGCUAGUUCAUAUUGCAAGACUGUGAAGUAUGUAUUGAAUUAGAGGUUUGAUGAUAAAUCUUUGGCAAUGCCUAGAAAUUGAGUUGAAAGAAGGGUGAAAUGCCCUCCACAAUUCACUGACUACUAGGCUAUGUAUCAGUUGUUGGUAUAAUCACCUGUACCAGUUGCUUGGGGGAAUAUUCUGGCUGUGUAUCGUGACAUUAUGCCAAAUCCGUCUGUUCCUGCGACUGCAAAUGUGUGAAAAUGCGUCUGUUUUUCUUGAAAUAUGUGUGUUUUGCUUGCGAUAUGUGUGUUUUUCUUGUCAUAAGUGAGUUAGUGUAAUUGCAGGCGCUGGUAUAUACUACGACUGAUUAGAGGCAAAGUCAUCUCCCAGGUGUUAGAAAUGCUCAGAUGGCGUGAGGAAUCUUUUGUUUUUCUCCAUGUUUAUCUUCGCAAUUAGAAUCUCCCUGGCAGUGUUUCCAUUGAUCCAUGUCCAAGUCUUUACCACACACACACACACACACACAUCCAAAGGUGUCAGCCCGGGCUGCAGUGCAGUCAGACACACGCAUAGACAUGUACGUGUGCCCGAGUGUGUGUACGCAUGUCUUAUAGUAGGAUGGGCUCUGUUUUGAUGUUCUCUUUCUUUGUUUAUGUUUUUCUCUCUCACUCCGUCUUUCCCACCAGAUUUUGCACUGCUGCAGCAGACAGCAGACAGAUCUUCAGAAUCAACAUGAAGUCAAGGUGAUGGAGGGUCACACCAGCUACAUCAACCACUUAGUGUUUGAACCCACGGAGGGGAAACAAAUGGCUUCGGUCAGCGAUGACCAUACAUGCAGCCCUGUCCUUUCCUGCGUGGGAACUCUACUCCAGCCGGAGAGGCCACCUGUAGCAGCUAGAAGGAGGUCACAGCCUCCCACUGAGGUCAGAGUGUCUGCCAGAGGUCCCAACCUCUCUGGGCUCGGCUCCCAUUGUGUCUCAUAGCUUUCAGUUGGAUUUGCAGUAGGUAUGUUUCUGUUGUGUGAGAUGGAUUCCUCACUUCAGCCAGCUCUGGUUUCGUGUUGACAUGGAUCAGCAGAAUACAGCUUACUCAAGGGGCUUGAACAGAGACACCUGCUGCAACUAUUUGAUGUGCGAGAUCUACUCUGUGUGUGUGAUCUACUCUGUGUGACAUCCGUUUGGGAAGUAUUUCUGAGGCGUUAUCACAACAGUUUGAGCCUUUCUCCCCACUCUAGCCCGUCAGUCAAGCUAUCUGUCAGUUAGUAUGUCCAUGUCCACUCUACAACAUCCCAGUCUUUCAUCUCCUCGUUUCUCAUUUUCUUCUCAUGUUCUCACACUUUCUUUCUGCUCUGUUCUAGGGGAUCCCAUCAUCAACUCUAGCGAGAGGAGCAAACUGAUCCAAUAAAAAUGACAAAUGGCCGAGAUAAUUAUUUCAACAGUCCAAAUGUCUGCUAAAGAACGUGUUAUUGUUCAAGACACUUGAGCAGGUCUGAUCAAGAUGGAUGUUGGUGUGGUUUUGAGGAGAGGAGGACGGCGUGCUGUGCUCCUCUGCCUGGACUCCCCUGUGUGGCUCUGAGGUGUGAUUACUGUUUGUCUUUCACAACCCUCGUUCUGCCGAGAGUCGCCAAGGUUAUUUACCCUGCACACUCUCAUAAUUUAGUUCACACGGUGCACACUACGUUUCCCAUUUCCUCCGCUCAUUUGGAAACCGUUGACCAAAAUGAAAAGGUGCGGCUGCUGUUGUCUCACUCACAUCUACACACAGACUUCAAAUGCAGUCUCGCCUUUCAACUCUAUUGUACACGAAGCCCAGUGUUAUUGCUUGAUGUCACGUCAGCUGUAGUGUUAUGCAGUUACACAUCUCUUUGUCAGUGGUGGUCUCAGUCUUGUUUCUUGCCCCCUUUCACCUUGUUCAGCAAGGAUUACAUUGAAACAUUUUUUAAAUAAGAAUCUUUCCCCAUUUGAAGGGCAAAGUGGUGGACCACAACUUGGCCGGAUGCGGCGUAGCGUGCGAUUGAACUCUGCUUGGCGAGUGGUCUGAGAACAGAGGGUUUAUGCUUGUUUGUCUGCUGUGGUCUGAGGUUUCCAACCUCGCUCAUGGUCUAUGGAGGAGGGUCUGCACCGCACUCUACACAGGGCCAUUCUGACUUCUGUGUUGUGUCAAGAAGCAAAAGCUCUCAUGGAGAAAUGUUUUAUCCCCUGCAGGGAAGACACAGGAAAAGUUGUGUUUGUUUAAUGAGGUCUUCAUCUGGGAUGGGGCAAAAUCAUAUCCUCUCCGCCGCGACUCUGCAGACAUCUCUCCAACAUGUUUGACAUUUAGACAGGCUUUGGGUCUUUAUUAGAUGUCUUCUGCAUGACCUCAUCAGUCAACACAUUCACAUCGGUCCCAACCAUACAGUCCUUUAAAAAACAUUUUUAACCACUUGCAAGUUUAUUCCUCCCUGGUUCAGGGGAAUGUUCUGUUAGAUACGAGGCCUUGUGUUCGCUGAGGAGGACUCUCAAAUGUGGUUGAAGAGUAGAUCCUGGUCUCGGGAGCAGCCUGUCCUCUCCAAGUGAUUUAUUACAUCCGGGCGCACGUUUGCCUUGUGUCCUCGGCCUUCUCGCUCGUCAGCGCAGGGCCCCACCCGCCUGUCUUCACAGCUCAAGAGGGAGAUUACAACCAAGAUCCCUUUUUCCCUGAAAGAAGGGCAGUGCUAGUGAGGCUCUAUGUGCGCAUCUCUUGGACAACUGACAGAAGUUAGAUAAAUUACACACAGGCAUUACGUGCUUUCAUAAAAACACUGGCAUCACUACAGGCCUGGUGUGUGCUGCUCACUCAUUAGAGUACAUUCCCGAAGAGAGUCUCACAGACGCCUGGGGAAAGAUGGGUUUGGAUGGAAGCUUGUAACUUUUUUGACAUGGAUCCUGUGAGACAAAAACAGCCAGCCAGCCAGCCAUGAUGUCUUUGUUGUUUUUCAUAUUUUUAGCUGCCAUUAGCGUGUGUAAUCCUUUGUUUUGUGUGCAGUCAGCACCAAGGCGUCUGCCUGCGCUGUGCUGCGCGUCAUCUCCUCUCCCCACACAGGGGGUGGCUGGACUCCGGAAGCUAUUUUUAGCAUUGCCGCGCGUCCCACUCCAGCACAGCUAAUUGAGUGCUUAUUAAUUUUGUUUUUUGGACUUGAUAAUUUCUCAUUUUUGACAGGACCUGUUUUAUCUGAAGCUUCGGACCGGGUUGUUUGUUUGAAUCGCAGACUUCCUGUCUGAGGUUGUUUUCUAAACGGGUAGUUGAGGACAGGAGAAUAAUUUUCUUACAGUCCUUAAACGGUUCAUUUCCCCUGAGCACACCCCCUCUCCCUUUCAUGCCAGAUGGCCUCUCAGUAACAGUGCAUUCCAGUUUCAUAAUGAGAGUUUAAAUAAUUAGUGAGAGUGAAAAGUUCUAGUGUGAGAGUGAAAAUAUCUAGUGUGGGAGUGAAAAGAUCUAGUGUGAGAGUGAAAAGAUCUAGUGUGGGAGUGAAAAGCUCUAGUGUGAGAGUGAAAAGAUCUAGUGUGAGAGUGAAAAGAUCUAGUGUGAGAGUGAAAAGAUCUAGUGUGUGAGUGAAAAGAUCUCUUGUGAGAGUGAAAAGAUCUAGUGCGUGAGUGAAAAGAUCUAGUGUGGGAGUGAAAAUAUCUAGUGUGAGAGUGAAAAGAUCUAGUGUGAGAGUGAAAAGAUCUAGUGUGUGAGUGAAAAGAUCUCUUGUGAGAGUGAAAAGAUCUAGUGUGAGAGUGAAAAGAUUAGUGUGGGAGUGAAAAUAUCUAGUUGAGUGAAAAGAUCUCGCCAUACUAAACCUUGAUCCUCUGUACAGCUGAUGGUGGCCGAGAAGAAGGGACGAUCCGCUUCUAUGACCUGGUUACCCAGCAAGCCAUUCUUUCUCUGGAUUGCGGCCAGUCGCCACUCAUGUCGGCCGACUGGUGCCUCGCCAACACCAUCAAGGUGGGCGCGGUGACGGGCAGCGACUGGGUCAUCUGGGAUAUUACCCGCUCCAGUUACCCACAAGAGAAGAGGCCUGCCCAUGUAGAACGAGCAGGAAACUUCAGAUAACUGCUUUGUCCAUGCUUCCAAGGUGUUCUCGGGUCAAUGAGAAUCUCUUCUCCACAACAGGAUGUCCAGGCAAGAUCAGCAGUCAGUUACUAGUGCAUCACCUGGGUCACCCGCAGCCCGUGAUGAUUGGAUCAGCCACGGUGGGGGCAGGUAUAAACUGGCAAAGGUCCCUCCCACUCUGUGUCAUUGGCGGUGACCGAAAGCUCUCUUUUUGGAUGACAGAUAUGUAAUGCAGUCACUUCCUAUGGACGUAUUGGAGGUAAUGCAAAUGUACAUUGAAACUGUUUGACCUGAGGUGUGGUCGGAUAUUUAUAUUUUCAUAAUUUUUCAAUAAAGUAUUUAAUUUUCCAUGUU
Oncorhynchus gorbuscha (pink salmon) is the source of this 4498-nucleotide long non-coding RNA. RefSeq lists it as uncharacterized. Lineage: Eukaryota; Metazoa; Chordata; Actinopteri; Salmoniformes; Salmonidae. The transcript is spliced from 6 exons. The record is from RefSeq and is a predicted model, not a curated record.